GUCUGAUUAUACCAUAACAGUCAGAUGCACAAAACUAUGCAUGGAACUACAGUCAUAAUGCCGAAUUUGCGGUCAACAUACAUGGCAAUGUCUAGAAAACUUCAGCUACCUUGGUUGCAAGAAUGCGUUCUCGUCUUUCUACAUAUCCAAAUGGGAACCAACCUCCUUUUCCCUUGCACUCACCUUCAGCCCAACCAUUGUUUGACACUUUUCUAACAACUACAUAGUCACCAAUCAAUAAUGUGAGCUCUACAUCUGACUCAGCUUCAUAUGGGUGUACGACCUCUGCCAAGUAAUACGUUGUCCCAUCUAUGGAUCCAUCAUAUGACUUAAAAUGAAGGCCACCAUUAACAUCAGUAUAAGAUGGGGGAGGAGGCAUCGUAUUAUCUGUGGCUGAACUAGGAGAUGCUUCAAUUCUUUGACGCUCCGACAUCAUCUCUGCCUCAAGCUGAUCAAGUAUCUGCAAAACUCGCUCAUGAUAAUGGCG
RNAcentral lists this unclassified non-coding RNA (487 nucleotides) under Hevea brasiliensis (rubber tree). Lineage: Eukaryota; Viridiplantae; Streptophyta; Magnoliopsida; Malpighiales; Euphorbiaceae. The record is from RNAcentral.